RNAcentral lists this ribosomal RNA (432 nucleotides) under uncultured bacterium. RNAcentral's name for it is "partial 16S ribosomal RNA". It matches the Rfam family "Bacterial small subunit ribosomal RNA", at positions 29 to 507 of the family's 1533-position model. The record is from RNAcentral.
AACGAACGCUGGCGGCAGGCUUAACACAUGCAAGUCGAGCGAGACCUUCGGGUCUAGCGGCGGAAGGGUGAGUAACGCGUGGGAACGUGCCCUUCUCUACGGAAUAGCCCCGGGAAACUGGGAGUAAUACCGUAUACGCCCUUUGGGGGAAGAUUUAUCGGAGAAGGAUCGGCCCGCGUUGGAUUAGGGAGUUGGUGGGGGAAUGGCCCAACAAGCCGACGAUCCAUAGCUGGUUUGAGAGGAUGAUCAGCCACACUGGGACUGAGACACGGCCCAGACUCCUACGGGAGGCAGCAGUGGGGAAUCUUAGACAAUGGGGGCAACCCUGAUCUAGCCAUGCCGCGUGAGUGAUGAAGGCCUUAGGGUUGUAAAGCUCUUUCAGCUGGGAAGAUAAUGACGGUACCAGCAGAAGAAGCCCCGGCUAACUCCGUG